AUUGUGUAGUCGCCGAGCCUUGUUUGCUGGUCACUUGCGUCAUUUCGAGAGUUCAGAAAUGACGAGUGAGCGACGGUGGGUUCCGGUGUCGAAUUUGACACUUUCGGGAACCCGAGUUCGUACAAUUAUCCGGCGAUAAUUGUGUAGUUGUGUUAACUUGUGUUUGCUGCCAAGACAUCCAAAUUGGUGUGUUUUGUGGCAGCGGGUGACUCGUAUCAUGAGUCGGAACAUUUCGGGACAGUUCGUGGGUCCCGACGGAGUCCCGGUGCGAUUUUCGGGACUUCCGACGAGUUACGGUAGUCGGUUUUGGGAAACUGAUCUCCGUGGAUUUGUUAGUGGGAUUAUGAUGUAGUAUUUCUUAGUUGUGGGUUAGACACUAACCCAGUGGACCCUCCAUAGGUCCUGUUGACGUUCUUUUGCAGUCAGGAGACAGGCGCGACAGUUGUACAGGUGGGUACUUCGAUCCGACGUCGGUACAGUGGUGCACGCU
This 490-nucleotide long non-coding RNA is filed under the name Ananas comosus (pineapple). RNAcentral describes it as "long non-coding RNA (ACOM_LNC029768)". The record is from RNAcentral. Lineage: Eukaryota; Viridiplantae; Streptophyta; Magnoliopsida; Poales; Bromeliaceae.